GCCCGGUUAGCUCAAUCGGUAGAGCGUGAGACUCUUAAUCUCAAGGUUGCGGGUAAGCAUGAAUUCACACUUAUAUGAUCAAGUCACGUGCUAAUCACGUGAUUUCGCAGGUUCGACCCCCGCAUUGGGCU
This is a non-coding RNA of Xylaria sp. FL0064, 131 nucleotides long. The record is from the annotation of a GenBank genome assembly. Lineage: Eukaryota; Fungi; Ascomycota; Sordariomycetes; Xylariales; Xylariaceae.